Long non-coding RNA from Suricata suricatta (meerkat), 568 nucleotides. RefSeq lists it as uncharacterized. The record is from RefSeq and is a predicted model, not a curated record. The transcript has 2 exons. Lineage: Eukaryota; Metazoa; Chordata; Mammalia; Carnivora; Herpestidae.
CGUGAUGGCGCAUUGGGGGCUGAGCGUCGGCUGUGCCUGGCUGUGGUUUGUGAUGCCCAUCAGACGUCUGAGUGGAGAUGUUGAGUAGACCUGAGGCUAGGGGGGCCGACAAGGAUAGAGAUGGGCUUUGGAUCAAGUCCCCACUCUGGAACAAGCCAAAUGGACCAGAAAUUGCGAGUGGGUCACCUUCCAUGGAAAAAGAGAUGUUGCAAAUCUGAUUAAGGACUGAGGAGCCUGAGACGGAGAAUCCUGGAUUGCCCAGGUGGGCCAGAUAUCAUCAUGAGUUGGCUUAAAAGUAGAAGGAAGAGGGAGCCACGAAGGUCGGAAGAUGGGACUAUGAGGGAAGAGCCCCAACGAUGCAUCGUUAGGGGCCUCGAAGCUGGAGGAAGGGGCCGCCAGCCAAGAACGCGGGCGGCCCCAGGGACAGGAAAAGGAGACGGAUUCACCCUGCGCCUGGGUGGCAGGGGGAUAGAGCUGUUCUGAAAUCACUGGCCUCUUCAGCCCAGUGACUCCCGUGUCAGCCUUCUAACCUGCAGAACUGCAAGAGAAUCGACUAAUGCUGUUUGAA